ACUCAAAUGAAUUGACGGGGGCCCGCACAAGCAGCGGAGCAUGUGGUUUAAUUCGACGCAACGCGAAGAACCUUACCUGGGCUUGACAUGUCCGUGACAGCUGUGGAAACACAGUCUCCCUUCGGGGCACGGUCACAGGUGGUGCAUGGCUGUCGUCAGCUCGUGUCGUGAGAUGUUGGGUUAAGUCCCGCAACGAGCGCAACCCUCGUCGCAUGUUGCCAGCAUUUAGUUGGGGACUCAUGCGAGACUGCCGGUGACAAACCGGAGGAAGGCGGGGAUGACGUCAAGUCAUCAUGCCCCUUAUGUCCAGGGCUACACACGUGCUACAUUGGCGCAUACAAACGGCUGCGAUACCGCGAGGUGGAGCGAAUCCGAAAAAGUGCGUCUCGGUUCGGAUUGGAGGCUGAAACUCGCCUCCAUGAAGGCGGAGUUGCUAGUAAUCCCGAAUCAGCAACGUCGGGGUGAAUACGUUCCCGGGCCUUGUACACACCGCCCGU
Molecule: ribosomal RNA, 497 nt
Filed under: uncultured bacterium
Lineage: Bacteria
Description: partial 16S ribosomal RNA
Rfam family: Bacterial small subunit ribosomal RNA
Source: RNAcentral